RNAcentral lists this ribosomal RNA (253 nucleotides) under uncultured bacterium. Its description in RNAcentral is "partial 16S ribosomal RNA". It matches the Rfam family "Bacterial small subunit ribosomal RNA", at positions 524 to 776 of the family's 1533-position model. The record is from RNAcentral.
UACGUAGGGUGCGAGCGUUGUCCGGAAUUAUUGGGCGUAAAGAGCUCGUAGGCGGCUUGUCACGUCUGCUGUGAAAUCCCGGGGCUCAACCCCGGGCGUGCAGUGGAUACGGGCUGGCUAGAGGCAGGCAGGGGAGAACGGAAUUCCCGGUGUAGCGGUGAAAUGCGCAGAUAUCAGGAGGAACACCGAUGGCGAAGGCAGGUCUCUGGGCAUUAACUGACGCUGAGGAGCGAAAGCAUGGGGAGCGAACAGG